GCUGUCUACAAGUCUGUGGUGGGGCUGGGGGUCUUGGGGCAGUGGGAAUUUUUUUUUUCACCGGUGGCAAUUCAUCUUCCUCCGAUGAAGAGUAUACUUUUCUUCUACAAGUAAAAAAACAACGUUAUCAAAUGAUUCUGGGGGGAAAGAAUGACGGCCAUGAAAAAGAACCAUCGAUCAUGCUAUGGGAGGCCACCAGGAGAACCCAUCCAUGUACCAGGACUUUGCCACUGGUCCAGUUUGCCCCUCGUUGAC
Pygocentrus nattereri (red-bellied piranha) is the source of this 255-nucleotide long non-coding RNA. RefSeq lists it as uncharacterized. NCBI's taxonomy places the organism in Eukaryota, Metazoa, Chordata, Actinopteri, Characiformes, Serrasalmidae. The record is from RefSeq and is a predicted model, not a curated record. The transcript has 3 exons.